UGCAGAUAGUAGCUCGUAGUGUGGAUUUGUGGCUGUCGCCGGCGGCCUAUCACUUAGUGUUAGUGCUUGCUUGCGUCGCCAUCCUUGGGUGGAGCCUGCGUGGCAUUAGGUUGUCGUGUAGGGGAUGCCCCUCGUUUACUGUGAGAAAAUUAGAGUGUUCCAAGCAGGCUUAUGCCGUUGAAUAUGUUAGCAUGGAAUAAUAAGAUAGGACCUCGGUACUAUUUUGUUGGUUUGCGCACCGAGGUAAUGAUUAAUAGGGACAGUUGGGGG
This 270-nucleotide ribosomal RNA is filed under the name Nitzschia bizertensis. RNAcentral's name for it is "partial small subunit ribosomal RNA". It matches the Rfam family "Eukaryotic small subunit ribosomal RNA", at positions 625 to 888 of the family's 1831-position model. The record is from RNAcentral. Lineage: Eukaryota; Bacillariophyta; Bacillariophyceae; Bacillariales; Bacillariaceae.